CGCACCUUGCACCUCUUGGUAUUCCGAGAGGUACAUCUGUUUGAGUGUCAUGAAAUCCUCAACCUCUUGCAUUUUUAUCAAGUGUUUCGAGCGUUGGAUGCUGAGCGUUGCUGUGUUACAUCAGCUCGCUUCAAAUGCAUUCGCAAUCUUGAUAUGACUCGGAUUGACUCGACGUGAUAAGAUCUUCGUCGAGGAUGCUUUCAUUAGCAGCCGAAUUGUAUGCAGAUUGCUAAGAAACCUGCCUAGGCACCUUUAAAUUUAGACCUCAAAUCAGAUGGGACUACCCGCUGAACUUAA
RNAcentral lists this unclassified non-coding RNA (297 nucleotides) under Septobasidium pseudopedicellatum. RNAcentral's name for it is "partial contains 5.8S ribosomal RNA, internal transcribed spacer 2, and large subunit ribosomal RNA". Lineage: Eukaryota; Fungi; Basidiomycota; Pucciniomycetes; Septobasidiales; Septobasidiaceae. The record is from RNAcentral.